AUACUUACCUGGCAGGGGAGACACCAUGAUCACAAAGGUGGUUUUCCCAGGGCAAGACUCAUCCAUUGCACUCCAGAUGUGACCUCUAUGAUUUCCCCAAAUGUGAGAAACUUGACUGUAUAAUUUGUGAUUAUAAUUUUUUAAUUAAAAAAU
Homo sapiens (human) is the source of this 153-nucleotide small nuclear RNA. It matches the Rfam family "U1 spliceosomal RNA". Rfam says of the family: U1 is a small nuclear RNA (snRNA) component of the spliceosome (involved in pre-mRNA splicing). Its 5' end forms complementary base pairs with the 5' splice junction, thus defining the 5' donor site of an intron. The record is from Rfam. NCBI's taxonomy places the organism in Eukaryota, Metazoa, Chordata, Mammalia, Primates, Hominidae.